This 501-nucleotide ribosomal RNA is filed under the name uncultured bacterium. RNAcentral's name for it is "bacterial SSU rRNA". It matches the Rfam family "Bacterial small subunit ribosomal RNA", at positions 28 to 507 of the family's 1533-position model. The record is from RNAcentral.
GACGAACGCUGGCGGCGUGCCUAAUACAUGCAAGUCGAGCGGAAUGAAGAAGAAGCUUGCUUCUUCUGAUUUUUAGCGGCGGACGGGUGAGUAACACGUGGGCAACCUACCUUGUAGAUUGGGAUAACUCCGGGAAACCGGGGCUAAUACCGAAUAAUCCAUUUUGCUUCAUGGCGAGAUGUUAAAAGGCGGCUUCGGCUGUCACUACGAGAUGGGCCCGCGGCGCAUUAGCUAGUUGGUAGGGUAAUGGCCUACCAAGGCGACGAUGCGUAGCCGACCUGAGGGGGUGAUCGGCCACACUGGGACUGAGACACGGCCCAGACUCCUACGGGAGGCAGCAGUAGGGAAUCUUCCACAAUGGACGAAAGUCUGAUGGAGCAACGCCGCGUGAGUGAAGAAGGUUUUCGGAUCGUAAAACUCUGUUGUAAGGGAAGAACACGUACGAGAGUAACUGCUCGUACCUUGACGGUACCUUAUUAGAAAGCCACGGCUAACUACGUG